AACGAACGCUGGCGGCAUGCCUAACACAUGCGAGUCGAACGAGACCUUCGGGUCUAGUGGCGCACGGGUGCGUAACGCGUGGGAACCUGCCCUUAGGUUCGGAAUAACUCCCCGAAAGGGGUGCUAAUACCGGAUAAUGUCUUCGGACCAAAGAUUUAUCGCCUUUGGAUGGGCCCGCGUUGGAUUAGCUAGUUGGUAGGGUAAAAGCCUACCAAGGCGGCGAUCCAUAGCUGGUCUGAGAGGAUGAGCGGCCACACUGGGCCUGAGAUAAGGCCCAGACUACUACGGGAGGCAGCGGUGGGGAGUAGAGAACAGGGGGAGGGAGGAUGAUGCAGACACGCCGCGCGCGGGAUGACGGAAUGCGGGUUGGAAAGCGAUUUCGCCUGUGACGGAGGGUGAGUGACGGUACUGGGUAAAGAAGCACCGGCUAACUACGUG
Molecule: ribosomal RNA, 438 nt
Filed under: uncultured bacterium
Lineage: Bacteria
Description: partial 16S ribosomal RNA
Rfam family: Bacterial small subunit ribosomal RNA
Source: RNAcentral